Non-coding RNA from Pelobates cultripes (western spadefoot toad), 220 nucleotides. The record is from the annotation of a GenBank genome assembly. Lineage: Eukaryota; Metazoa; Chordata; Amphibia; Anura; Pelobatidae.
GUUGUGGUGUCUGCUGCACUGCUUGGAGUCCUCAGGAAGCGCUAGGAGCAUCCGUCAACGGAGGGUACUCAGUCGGAGUACAAGGAGCUCCGUUACAUUGGUGGCAGCGGUGGGAUGGCGUCCUAGUGCGCGGAGAAGCAGUUCGGAGACACUGGUAUCGUAUGAGAGGUUAUUGAGGGCAACGCUAGCCACUGUGCAGCGUCCCUAACUACAGCAGCAG